RNAcentral lists this ribosomal RNA (297 nucleotides) under Triticum aestivum (bread wheat). RNAcentral's name for it is "partial small subunit ribosomal RNA". The record is from RNAcentral. Lineage: Eukaryota; Viridiplantae; Streptophyta; Magnoliopsida; Poales; Poaceae.
AUGUGGCUCCUCGUCCUCGAUCCAGUGGUAGAGGAGGUGAAGACGACUGCGGCAGAGCUGCAGAAGGCGGUGGAGCGGCGAAUGGGCCUCGUUGGCCACGGUUUCGACGCUGAUGCGGCCAUGGAGCUCUCGGAUUUGCAAGGGGAGGAAGAAACCGAGAGGGGAAAGGGGAUUUGGGAGCUAAGGUUUGGCCAGAGAGGUCAACGACAACCUUGUAGGGUGCCAGGGUGGUCUGGAUGGUCGCCACGCGGCGGAUCCGCGGCAUGGACGCACAGCCGGCGUCCAGCACACUCGGUG